This 252-nucleotide ribosomal RNA is filed under the name uncultured bacterium. Its description in RNAcentral is "partial 16S ribosomal RNA". It matches the Rfam family "Bacterial small subunit ribosomal RNA", at positions 524 to 776 of the family's 1533-position model. The record is from RNAcentral.
UACGUAGGUGGCAAGCGUUGUCCGGAUUUAUUGGGUUUAAAGGGUGCGUAGGUGGCCCUGUAGUCAGUGGUGAAAUAUCUCAGCUUAACUGAGAGGGUGCCAUUGAUACUGCAGGGCUUGAGUACAGAUGAGGUAGGCGGAAUUGACGGUGUAGCGGUGAAAUGCAUAGAUAUCGUCAAGAACACCGAUAGCGAAGGCAGCUUACCAAGCUGUAACUGACACUGAGGCACGAAAGUGUGGGGAUCAAACAGG